RNAcentral lists this ribosomal RNA (385 nucleotides) under uncultured bacterium. RNAcentral describes it as "bacterial SSU rRNA". It matches the Rfam family "Bacterial small subunit ribosomal RNA", at positions 425 to 793 of the family's 1533-position model. The record is from RNAcentral.
GUAAAGCACGUUUCAGUCGUGAGGAAGGUGGUAGUGUUAAUAGCACUAUCAUUUGACGUUAGCGACAGAAGAAAGCACCGGCUAACUCCGUGCCAGCAGCCGCGGUAAUACGGAGGGUGCGAGCGUUAAUCGGAAUUACUGGGCGUAAAGCGCAUGCAGGUGGUUUGUUAAGUCAGAUGUGAAAGACCCGGGGCGUCAACCUCGGAAUAGCAUUUGUAAACUAGGCAGACUAGAGUACUGUAGAGGGGGGUAGGAAUUUCAGGUGUAGCGGUGAAAAUGCGUAGAGAUCUGAAGGAAUACCGGUGGCGAAGGCGGCCCCCUCGGACAGAUACUGACACUCAGAUGCGAAAGCGUGGGGAGCAAACAGGAUUAGAUACCCUGGUAG